Molecule: long non-coding RNA, 1380 nt
Filed under: Canis lupus familiaris (dog)
Lineage: Eukaryota; Metazoa; Chordata; Mammalia; Carnivora; Canidae
Description: lncRNA (ENSCAFG00030016186.1)
Source: RNAcentral
AUUCCAGGUUAUGUAGGCUUGGAUGGUGCAACUGGACGAGAGCACCGCGAUUUUGGCGGCCAGCACGUUGACGUUUCCAGCGGUGGCGUCGGAAUUCCGAGCCUGCCCUCCUGCCAGGUGAAAGCCGACGGUCACCACCGAGACGAUCAGAGUCACAAACCGGCCCGAGACGAACACAACCGCCCACAGGGAAAACUCCUUGUGGUACUUGUCGUCCCUGAAGUAGAAGAGGUCACAGAUGUGGGAAAGGAAUUCCACGAAGUAAGCUCCGGCAAUGUGGAAGAGGUGCAGCCCGAUGUAGACCAGCUGGCGCGGGACGUCCUGCUUUUUGAUCCUCUGGAAGUAGAGCUCCGGGAAGGCGUGGAACCAGUAAGCCAGCUGCGAUAUGUAGAAGAACUUCAUCUGGAAGGUCAUCAUGUUGUGAGGCGGGGCCCUCCACAGAAGGGUGGGGUCCGACAGGCAGUUUUCCGAAACCAGGAUGGACGUGCCCCAGACACAGGACACGAGGUAGAAGGCGCUGAACUGGCCCGACUCGUUAAAGCGGCUUUGCUUGGGCUUGGGGAACUGCAUCCGCCUGUUGAUCUUGUCCAACACGUACUCCUGGAUGGUGGCGUGAAUGAUGAUCGCCACCAGCAUGUAGAAGAACACCGUGGCCAGGUCUCUGAUGCCGUAGUAGUAGAGGAACUUGGGUUCCGGCGCUCGUUCCUCGGCCGCGGGGAAGGGGACGCUGUGCUGCAGGGUGAUGAAGACGAUGGAGGCCUCGGCCGUGCCCUCGAACAUCAGCCCCAGCACGAAGAACAUCCCCACGCAGGCGACGAGGUCCGCGUGGUUCUGCAGGAUGAACUCGUGGCUCAGCACCGGGGGGUUCUUGGCGCUCUUCUUGCGAAACGCCAUGGCAGCGCUUCCCACACGCUCUCCGACGAGCCGCGGCGGCCUCCGCGCCCGCCGCCCCCCCGCCCCCGCCCCCGCCGCCGCCGCCGCCCUCCUCACCGCGCCGCCGCCGCCGCCGCCGCCGCCGCCGCAGCAGCUCCGGGGACUCCCCGCCCCAUCCCCGAGCCGGCCCCGGGUCGCCGCGGCCGCCCGGAGCACCGCGAGCCAAGGCGAGGGCCGGGCCGCACUGAGCAUGCGCGCCACGGCCCGGCGGAGGCAGGGAAGGAAAUCGAGCGCCGCGCCCCUGCCCCGCGCCAGGCCCGGGCUUGCGAGCGUGGAUGCGAGCGUGGAUCGUCGGCGCCGCCGCCCGCCGCCCGCCCCCCGGCCCCCGCCCCCGCCCCCGCCCGCGCCGUCCAGCGGCUUCCCGAGUCCCCGCGCCGCGGCGGCUCCGGGGGAGGUCGGGGCGAGGCGGGACGGCCACUCCGGCUGCGCGUCAGCGUCACCGCGUGA